UGUUUUCUCUAUAUUUCUCGAUUUAUUAUAUAUAUCGCUAAUCCAUCACAUCUCCAGAAAAUCCUCCCACCUCUGACUAGGUUAAGCCGCUGGUUUUUCACAUCGGACCAGGCUCCCACAGCCAUGUUGUCCGUCCGAUUUGUUCUCGUUUUGUUUUUAGUUUCUAUCUAGGUUUUAUUUUUUCUUUAGCUUUUAUAGUUAGGAUUUCUCCAAAAUGCAGAUAUAGUUUCUGAAUCUCAAAUCUAGAGAAGGAGGCUGAGCAACAGUGUUAGUGCUAUGGGCUUCAGAGUGGUCGUGUCUUGGUAGCAGUAAGCUGUUGGGGUUCUCGCCUUGCUAGGGUCUAGCCUUCAGAUCCGUGGGUUGCUUAUGUUUCUCACUGGCUCCAAUCAAAGGUUCAUGUAAAUUUGAUGGCUGCACUACACAGUAAAGAACGAUCUCUUUCAGAUGUCGUCAAUCUGUGAAUGAGAAACAACUUAUUCCUAAAGAUAUGAAGACAUUAACAGUUGAGAGACCCUGCUCUGUUCCCACAUAACCAAAGUCAGUUUGACUCUGGUGUCAGCGAUUCUUCUAAUAGAAGCUCAACCCAUUGAUGGUGAUGAGGUGUACAAAUGCAUCACACCAGAUGUUCUUGACGUGGAGGUGCAAAGAGUUCCAGUUAUGGUAUAUGAAGAUAACUUUGGAGUCCCCUGAACUUAGCUACUCGAGCUUUUCUACUAUCUUAGUUGUGUUAUAGUUUUGAGAUGUUGUCUGAUCACCCUUUGGAUAUUUCUGGUUCUCACAUUUGAUGUAUUAAUGAACUCCUACCAUUAAGUUCAUUAAAGAUCUCUGUUUAUUAAUACAAGUACAUUGAAUAAUAUUCACAGAUAAGAUUAUUCUAAUAGGUA
Raphanus sativus (radish) is the source of this 884-nucleotide long non-coding RNA. RefSeq lists it as uncharacterized. The record is from RefSeq and is a predicted model, not a curated record. NCBI's taxonomy places the organism in Eukaryota, Viridiplantae, Streptophyta, Magnoliopsida, Brassicales, Brassicaceae. The transcript is spliced from 2 exons.